Molecule: ribosomal RNA, 301 nt
Filed under: uncultured bacterium
Lineage: Bacteria
Description: partial 16S ribosomal RNA
Rfam family: Bacterial small subunit ribosomal RNA
Source: RNAcentral
CAGUCGCCACGGGAAUACGGAGGGCGCGAGCGUUACCCGGAUUUACUGGGCGUAAAGGGCGUGUAGGCGGCCUGGGGCGUCCCAUGUGAAAGGCCACGGCUCAACCGUGGAGGAGCGUGGGAUACGCUCAGGCUAGAGGGUGGGAGAGGGUGGUGGAAUUCCCGGAGUAGCGGUGAAAUGCGCAGAUACCGGGAGGAACGCCGAUGGCGAAGGCAGCCACCUGGUCCACUUCUGACGCUGAGGCGCGAAAGCGUGGGGAGCAAACCGGAUUAGAUACCCCGGUAGUCCCUGUCUCUUAUAC